RNAcentral lists this transfer RNA (73 nucleotides) under Camelus bactrianus (Bactrian camel). It matches the Rfam family "tRNA". From Rfam's summary of the family: Transfer RNA (tRNA) molecules are approximately 80 nucleotides in length. Lineage: Eukaryota; Metazoa; Chordata; Mammalia; Artiodactyla; Camelidae. RNAcentral also lists the same sequence under 1 other name. The record is from Rfam by way of RNAcentral.
GAGGGUAAAGCUCAGUGGCAGAAGCGUGUGCUUGGCACGGACAAGGUCCUGGGUUCAAUCCCCAGGACCUCCA